GGCUGUGAUUAUAAUUUCAGGUCAGCCUGCCCAGUGAGGAGUUUAACGGCCGCGGUAUAUUGACCGUGCAAAGGUAGCAUAAUCAUUAGUUUUUUAAUUGGAAGCUAGAAUGAAAGGUUGUAUGAGAAAAUUUCUGUCUCUAAAAAAUUUUUUUAGAAUUUUAUUUUUAAGUGAAAAAGCUUAAAUUUUAAUAGAAGACGAGAAGACCCUAUAGAGUUUUAUAUUUACAGGAGUGUAUUUAUUUUGGUUUAAAAAUUAAUAAUUUGUGUAAAUAUUUAGUUGGGGUGAUUGAAAAAUUAAAAUAACUUUUUUUUAUUUUAUACAUUGAUUUAUGAAUUUAUGAUCCUUAAAUAAAGAUUAUAAGAUUAAAUUACCUUAGGGAUAACAGCGUAAUUUUUUUUAGAGUUCUUAUCGAAAAAAGGGAUUGCGACCUCGAUGUUGGAUUAAAAUAAAUUGUUGGUGUAGAAGCUAAUAAAUUAGGUCUGUUCGACCUUUAAAAUUUUACAUGAUCUGAGUUUAAACCGGUGUGAGCCAGGU
Molecule: ribosomal RNA, 537 nt
Filed under: Trigonopterus strombosceroides
Lineage: Eukaryota; Metazoa; Arthropoda; Insecta; Coleoptera; Curculionidae
Description: partial large subunit ribosomal RNA
Rfam family: Bacterial large subunit ribosomal RNA
Source: RNAcentral